UGAUUGAAAUCGCAGAGCAUAAAACGACCUUAGAAUUUCCAUGAUGCAAUCGGGGAGAAGAGAGGGAGAGAGAAGAAAAUAAAAGAGCUGUACUCUCUUCUCAUCGCGGGCUCUUUGUGGAGAACACACACACAUCAGCGAGACGUGCAGGGC
This 153-nucleotide long non-coding RNA is filed under the name Scleropages formosus (Asian bonytongue). RNAcentral's name for it is "lncRNA (ENSSFOG00015030149.1)". Lineage: Eukaryota; Metazoa; Chordata; Actinopteri; Osteoglossiformes; Osteoglossidae. The record is from RNAcentral.